RNAcentral lists this ribosomal RNA (963 nucleotides) under Oryctes gnu. RNAcentral describes it as "partial 16S ribosomal RNA". Lineage: Eukaryota; Metazoa; Arthropoda; Insecta; Coleoptera; Scarabaeidae. The record is from RNAcentral.
UGAUUUUCUCGAAUUAAGGAGAGCUAUGAUAUUAUGAAUUUAAUUGUUGUAUAAAUUUUUAUAAUAAUAAUAUGGUAGUGAAAUGCUAAUCGUUCCUUAAGAUAUCUAGUUUCUUAAGAAAUAAAUUUAAUUUAGGUUUUUUUGUAUACAAGUCUUCUUGUUUAGCUUUGUGGUGGGAAAAACUAAUAUCUUAAGGGAUAAGCUUUAAGAUAAAGUAACUAGAAUUAUUAUUUUUUUAUUAAGGGUAGGUAGGAUUGGAAAUGUCUAUCUAUAGUUUGUUAUAAUUAACCCUUAGUGUGAAUAAGAUUUAUAUAUUAGUUUAGUUUUUUUAUUAAGAUUAUGUAUUUAAUAUUGUUUUAUAUGGGAUAAUGAUAGAAUUAGUAUAGUUUAAUGUAUAAUGUAUUUUAUUAUCGAGGUUAUAUUAAGGAACUCGGCAAUAAAACUUUUCGCCUGUUUAUUAAAAACAUGUCUUUUUGAUUAUAAUUUAAAGUCUGGCCUGCCCAAUGAGUAGUUAAAUGGCCGCGGUAAUUUGACCGUGCAAAGGUAGCAUAAUCAUUAGUUUUUUAAUUGAAAGCUGGAAUGAACGGUCGGACGAGAAAGUGACUGUCUCAAUAUAAUUGAAAUUAGAAUUUUAUCUGUAAGUAAGAAAGCUUACAUAAUUUUAAAAGACGAGAAGACCCUAUAGAAUUUUAUAGAAAAUUAGGUGUAUUGUGGUAGGUAUAUUAAAUUUUAUAUUUAAUUUUCUAUUUUGUUGGGGCGACUGAAAAAUUUGAUAAACUUUUUUUUUAUGAUUUCAUUGAUGUAUGUUUUAUUGAUCCACUAUUAGUGAUUAUAAGAAAAAAUUACCUUAGGGAUAACAGCGUAAUUUUUCUUUAGAGUUCUUAUCGAAAGAAGAGUUUGCGACCUCGAUGUUGGAUUAAAAUUAACUUUUGGUGCAGGAGCUAAAAGGUUAGGUCUGUUCGA